Molecule: ribosomal RNA, 460 nt
Filed under: uncultured bacterium
Lineage: Bacteria
Description: partial 16S ribosomal RNA
Rfam family: Bacterial small subunit ribosomal RNA
Source: RNAcentral
CCUACGGGUGGCAGCAGUGAGGAAUAUUGGUCAAUGGGCGCGAGCCUGAACCAGCCAAGUAGCGUGAAGGAUGACUGCCCUAUGGGUUGUAAACUUCUUUUAUAAAGGAAUAAAGCGCAGUAUGUAUACUUCUUUGCAUGUACCUUAUGAAUAAGGAUCGGCUAACUCCGUGCCAGCAGCCGCGGUAAUACGGAGGAUCCGAGCGUUAUCCGGAUUUAUUGGGUUUAAAGGGAGCGUAGGUGGGUUGUUAAGUCAGUUGUGAAAGUUUGCGGCUCAACCGUAAAAUUGCAGUUGAUACUGGCAGCCUUGAGUACAGUAGAGGUAGGCGGAAUGCGUGGUGUAGCGGUGAAAUGCUUAGAUAUCACGAAGAACUCCGAUUGCGAAGGCAGCUUGCUAGACUGUGACUGACACUGAUGCUCGAAAGUGUGGGUAUCAAACAGGAUUAGAUACCCGUGUAGUC